CAGCUCCAAAUUUUGUCUCUAAUUCC
RNAcentral lists this unclassified non-coding RNA (26 nucleotides) under Mus musculus (house mouse). RNAcentral's name for it is "oocyte_clustered_small_RNA7291". The record is from RNAcentral. Lineage: Eukaryota; Metazoa; Chordata; Mammalia; Rodentia; Muridae.